AGAGAGAAAGGAAACUGUUGAUACCCUAUUUCUCUGCAUUAACAGUGAUCAAACAGUGAUCUCAACGUCUGCUUUUUCAACCCCUAGCUGUCAUUAAAGUAACAAUUUUCAUACAAAACCCUUGAUCCAAAAAAGGGUAAUUUUGUGCUUUUCUUUCUUCAAUUUUAAUUGCGGUUUUUGCAUGUUUAUGAUUUCCAGUAGGUCUAUUCUUGUCUACUCUUUCCCAUAGUUGGCUUAGGUUAACAGUUGGAUUCCACUAAUGUAUAAAUUCACUGGCAUUUACUGGCUAUAGACUAGUCAUUGGAUCAAUACAAAACAGAAAGAGGAGAGGCAAUCUCCCUCCUGGCCAGCAUCAUUAUUGUUUCUCUUACCCUUUGCCAAAUGGAGAUUGUGACUUGUCUGAAUCAAUAAAUCCCCCCACACAUUGAACUGAAAUUUUCCCUUUUGGAAGUUUCUCCUCGUUUGAUCAUUUGCUAUACACGUUAAGACAAAUGGACCCAUAUGAAAUUUUUUGAAAAAGAUUUAUGCUUUGGCUUGGUAUUAUCCAGAGAAACUGCCUGGAGAAUGUUUCCCCUCGGAUAGAAGAAAGUUUAACAUUUCUUGCUUAGGGAUGGUUAAUAUUCAUCUGAUCAUUUUCCAGCUAAGGCUCUCUCUGUGUAGGUUGCAGGAAUCUGGAAUGUGGAAUCUGAAUUCUCUCACCCACUAAGAGGGAAAGUCUUGUCGUCCUGGGAAACAGAGGAAAGUGCAUAGAAAAUUUAUGAUGGUCACAUGCUUGUGUUUCCCUCCCUCAGGUCUCAGCCCAACAGUAACCACUCUUGCCGAGGGAAGUUAAGCCAAGUUGUGCCCAUGGAUUUGACAAUUCUGGGAUUUUGGAACCCAGCUAGCUAUCUUUACUGUCCAUGUUUAUGAACUUAGUUAUUACGAGUUUUGAAAUGUGAUUGGGUUCUUCUUGUUCUGACCAGUUAUGUUACUUGGUUUGGUAGGUGGGAAGUUUAUGUAAUUUUGAGCAUUUGGUUGGAUGGGAGAGUUAAAUAUUGACAAAGUGAUUUUUGAAAGCGAACUUUUCUCUUAUCAUUUGAAUUCCAUCCAACAUGUCAUAUGUAGGUUUAUAUACAAAGGUGUUCAAUGUUCAAUAUGCAAGGGUGUCACUUGAACUAGUUAAGUUUGCUCCUCAAUCAUUUGGUUCAUAAGGGGUCGAUACUAC
This 1204-nucleotide long non-coding RNA is filed under the name Linum usitatissimum (flax). RNAcentral describes it as "long non-coding RNA (LUSI_LNC007656)". The record is from RNAcentral. Lineage: Eukaryota; Viridiplantae; Streptophyta; Magnoliopsida; Malpighiales; Linaceae.